RNAcentral lists this ribosomal RNA (494 nucleotides) under uncultured bacterium. RNAcentral's name for it is "partial 16S ribosomal RNA". It matches the Rfam family "Bacterial small subunit ribosomal RNA", at positions 28 to 507 of the family's 1533-position model. The record is from RNAcentral.
GACGAACGCUGGCGGCGUGCUUAACACAUGCAAGUCGAACGGUGAAGCGCCUUCCUUUUGGGUUGGUGGGGAGGGGGGGGGAACGGGGUGGGAACACGAGCGUAACCUGCCCUUUCCUGCGGGAUAACGGCAGGAAAGUGUGGCUAAUACGGGAUAUGCUGUGCCGGUGGCAGGAUGGGUUUGUGGAAGCUUUUGUUUCGGUGGGGGAUGGGCUCGCGGCGUAUCGGGUUGUUGGUGGGGGGAUGGCCUACCAAGGCGGUGCCGGGCAGCCGGCCUGAGAGGGUGGACGGUCACACUGGUGCUGAGACACGGACCAGACUCCGACGGGCAGCAGCGGUGGAGAAUAUAGCACAGUGGGCGCAAGCCUGAUGCCGCGCCGCCGCGUGGGAGAUGGCGGCCUGCUGGUUGUGAACCUCUUUCGCGAGUGAAGCGGGCCUGCCUAGUUUGUGGGUGGGCUGACGGUAGCUGGAGAAGAAGCGCCGGCUAACUACGUG